This 433-nucleotide ribosomal RNA is filed under the name uncultured bacterium. Its description in RNAcentral is "partial 16S ribosomal RNA". It matches the Rfam family "Bacterial small subunit ribosomal RNA", at positions 29 to 507 of the family's 1533-position model. The record is from RNAcentral.
AACGAACGCUGGCGGCAUGCCUAACACAUGCAAGUCGAACGAGACCUUUGGGUCUAGUGGCGCACGGGUGCGGAACGCGUGGGAAUCUGCCCUUGGGUUCGGAAUAACUGUGAGAAAUUGCUGCUAAUACCGGACGAUGUCUUCUGACCAAAGAUUUAUCGCCCAGGGAUGAGCACGCGUAGGAUUAGCUAGUUGGUUGGGUAAUGGCCUCCCAAGGCGACGAUCCUUAGCUGGUCUGAGAGGAUGAUCAGCCACACUUGGACUGAGACACGGCCCGGAAUCCUCCGCGAGGCAGCAGUGGCGGAUAUUGGAACAUGGGCGCAAGCCUGAUCCAGCAAUGCCGCGUGAGUGAUGAAGGCCUUAGGGUUGUAAAGCUCUUUUACCAGGGAUGAUAAUGACAGUACCUGGAGAAUAAGCUCCGGCUAACUCCGUG